RNAcentral lists this ribosomal RNA (558 nucleotides) under Brettanomyces bruxellensis. RNAcentral's name for it is "partial large subunit ribosomal RNA". It matches the Rfam family "Eukaryotic large subunit ribosomal RNA", at positions 88 to 657 of the family's 3401-position model. Lineage: Eukaryota; Fungi; Ascomycota; Pichiomycetes; Pichiales; Pichiaceae. The record is from RNAcentral.
GGCGAAUGAAGCGGCAAGAGCCCAAAUUUGAAAUCGGGCAACCGAGUUGUAAUUUGGAGACGGGACACUAGAGAGGAGGAAGGCGAUUAAGUGCCUUGGAACAGGCUGCCGUAGAGGGUGAGAGCCCCGUGAAUCGCUGGAGACCGAUCAAUUAGUGCCCGCCGAAGAGUCGAGUUGUUUGGGAAUGCAGCUCUAAGUGGGUGGUAUAUUCCAUCUAAGGCUAAAUAUUAGCGAGAGACCGAUAGCAAACAAGUACAGUGAUGGAAAGAUGAAAAGAACUUUGGAAAGAGAGUGAAAUAGUACGUGAAAUUGUUGAAAGGGAAGGGUAUUUGAUCCGACAUGGUGUUUAGCAGCGGCCCGUUCCUCGUGGAUGGGUGCACCUGGUUUACACUGGGCCAGCAUCGGUUCUGGGAGCCAUAUACGGGGUUCGUGAAUGUGGCCCUUCGAUUCUGUCGGAGGGUGUUAUAGCGCGGACAUCUUGUGGCUAGCCGGGACCGGGGACUGCGGUGACUUGUCACCAAGGAUGCUGGCAGAACGAGCAAAUACCACCCGUCUUGA